CUGGCUAAUAUCAUAAUUAACAAAGUUGCUACUACAUCUGCAAAGUUUAAUCGAAAAAUUUGCCAGUGAUAUGAUGGCAUUGUCACAAAGAUCACAAGGGACACGGAGUCGACUUUUGCUCCAGGUGGAAUGGCAGAGCUGUGUAGGCAAGAUGCGCAGUCAUGAACUUGUUCAGCCAAAGGUUAUGCUUCGUAUCACCCACCAGGGAGGAUCAUCUCAUGAAAACUUUCAAAUUUGAUUUUGAAAAUUAUUCAGAAAAAAUUAAGCCACGCUAUCUCCCAGUGUAGGAGAGAAUAUGCUCUGGAGAGUGAUAUAAUUCACAGAAAAUGGCCUGGGAUAGUACUUGGGUCCUCAUGCUGACAGAAUCCUCUUGAGAAGAACAGCCAGGAGGCUAAUAAUGAAGGGCCGGACGGAGGCCAGUACUAUGAGGGUUAUCUCACAGCCUCAGAUGCUGGAUAAGCCCAAGGAGGCGGAAUAGCUUUUGGAUGGCAUUCAGAAAGGCCGGAGUGAUGAUUUGGAAGAGAAAAUCUGCCUAUUCUUUUCCAAGGUUUUGUGAUUAUUGUCCUGGCCUGCCCAUCCAUGGAUGCAUUGUUAGCAACCAGCCUUAGACAAAGGAUACACUCGGAGCCUCACCACACCUAAAGCCACGCUUUGAAGGAUCUGCCAAGCUCACUUUUAAUCAUGAGAAAGAAAUUACCCACAUGGAGUCAGCAGAAAAUGAGAAAGUAGAGCUCGUGCUGCGAAUAAUUCCAGCAAGUGCCAAGGGGCUAGUU
Manis javanica (Malayan pangolin) is the source of this 773-nucleotide long non-coding RNA. RefSeq lists it as uncharacterized. The record is from RefSeq and is a predicted model, not a curated record. Lineage: Eukaryota; Metazoa; Chordata; Mammalia; Pholidota; Manidae.